GAUGAACGCUGGCGGCGUGCCUAAUACAUGCAAGUCGAACGGGGAGAUUGUAGCAAUACUAUCUCCUAGUGGCGAACGGGUGAGUAACGCGUUGGUGACCUACCCCGAAGUGUGGGAUAACAGUUCGAAAGGGCUGCUAAUACCGCAUGUGGUUGGGAAGAUUAGAAGCUUUCCAACGAAAAGAGCAAUCUGCUUCGGGAGGGGCCUGCGACCCAUCAGCUAGUUGGUAGGGUAAAAGCCUACCAAGGCGACGACGGGUAGGGGACCUGAGAGGGUGACCCCCCACACUGGCACUGAAACACGGGCCAGACACCUACGGGUGGCUG
This 326-nucleotide ribosomal RNA is filed under the name uncultured Chloroflexota bacterium. Its description in RNAcentral is "bacterial SSU rRNA". It matches the Rfam family "Bacterial small subunit ribosomal RNA", at positions 28 to 351 of the family's 1533-position model. Lineage: Bacteria; Bacillati; Chloroflexota. The record is from RNAcentral.